RNAcentral lists this long non-coding RNA (588 nucleotides) under Chinchilla lanigera (long-tailed chinchilla). Its description in RNAcentral is "lncRNA (ENSCLAG00000028032.1)". Lineage: Eukaryota; Metazoa; Chordata; Mammalia; Rodentia; Chinchillidae. The record is from RNAcentral.
GUCAGACUUAUCUCAUGUUCCACAGAUUGCUGACCUCUGUUUUAUCUCUUUAAAUUUUCACAGUAAGCUGCAUGAGAUAAUUACGUUGUCCCAUGUUGCAGAUGAGUGUUGCAGAGCCUUAAUAUUUAUCUGAAUCUCCGGCCAUCAGGCAAUACUCUCCAGGGAAAGAAUCCCCUUGCUGAACUUUGCAAAACCUAGAAGAGAUACAAAAAGAGAUCCGUCUUUCACAUAUGCAGGAUGGUGCACAAUAUACCUUGAUAAUCCCACAGAUUACUGUAAACAGAGCUGGAGAAAUCACGCGGUGACUGGGAAGAUGCGAUGUGAAUCCUGCUCAUUACCUAAGACACGACUUCCGUUGUAAUUAUCUACCUAUCACAAUCGUUUCCUUCUGCUGUCUCCUGCUUACCUGCUGCCACACACGUACCUCAUUAAGAUUCGGCCAGCCCAGCACCAUUUGUACUGCUAACCUCUGAGCAAAGUGGGGUCAUUACUUCAUCAUGAUGGAUUUUGUGAUAACACAACAACUUGCAUCAAGGAUUCAUAUUUCUCUUUUCUUCAUUUAUGGUUAAAUUAAAAAUUAGUCUAACA